RNAcentral lists this ribosomal RNA (415 nucleotides) under Staphylococcus aureus. Its description in RNAcentral is "bacterial SSU rRNA". It matches the Rfam family "Bacterial small subunit ribosomal RNA", at positions 1033 to 1448 of the family's 1533-position model. Lineage: Bacteria; Bacillati; Bacillota; Bacilli; Caryophanales; Staphylococcaceae. The record is from RNAcentral.
GACAGGUGGUGCAUGGUUGUCGUCAGCUCGUGUCGUGAGAUGUUGGGUUAAGUCCCGCAACGAGCGCAACCCUUAAGCUUAGUUGCCAUCAUUAAGUUGGGCACUCUAAGUUGACUGCCGGUGACAAACCGGAGGAAGGUGGGGAUGACGUCAAAUCAUCAUGCCCCUUAUGAUUUGGGCUACACACGUGCUACAAUGGACAAUACAAAGGGCAGCGAAACCGCGAGGUCAAGCAAAUCCCAUAAAGUUGUUCUCAGUUCGGAUUGUAGUCUGCAACUCGACUACAUGAAGCUGGAAUCGCUAGUAAUCGUAGAUCAGCAUGCUACGGUGAAUACGUUCCCGGGUCUUGUACACACCGCCCGUCACACCACGAGAGUUUGUAACACCCGAAGCCGGUGGAGUAACCUUUUAGGAG